This is a non-coding RNA of Chiloscyllium plagiosum (whitespotted bambooshark), 2719 nucleotides long. The record is from RefSeq and is a predicted model, not a curated record. Lineage: Eukaryota; Metazoa; Chordata; Chondrichthyes; Orectolobiformes; Hemiscylliidae.
CUCAGAGUCCGACUCAUCAGUGGCUCAGCCCGAGGGCACGGAGCCCGUGCUGGGAAACUGAACAGUUUGCAUAGUCAUCAGCCUCUCCUGCUAGUACAUAUUGCAUUUCGAUUGCGUUAUUUUCCGGCUUUGUCUCUGGGGUCCCACAAUUAGAAUGAACGAUGUGGAAAUAUCAGCUCUGUUUAUGCAAACUAUACACAAAAUGCGUGACUAAUAGGGGGAAGGGGUGGCUUGCUGCUCACGUCAGUCCAGCCUGAUGCAAAAUGACUGAGCACUCUGCAAUACCAGUAUCAGCUGAGUUUUACAUUGCUUCAACGACCCAUGCAGUCUCCAGGUGGCACAGUCUAGCGUAAAGCUAUAUGUUGUUAAUCGCGGAGCUGGUAAAUUAAUGUAAAUUGUGACUUGUAUUGUUGAAAGCAAUAAUUAGAUGCAAGUCCAGAGUCCUCGCGAAGAAGACAAACGUUGUGAGGAAAUGAGCUGGAAAUCCGCUGCAAAUGCAAAUGUUCCACAUGCUGGAAGUCUAAAAUAAAAGAAAAAUCAAGAAACAUUCAGGUGAACGAAAAAAUGUCCCUCAGAUGUUCAGCUAGGGGCAAACAGAAGAACGCGUUGGCCAGAUCAAUGCACGAGAACCACUUAUGGUCAGAGGUCAGCACAGACAUCGCAGUGUACGGGUUUGGAACUGGAACUGUUGGAGUAGAAACGACACUAUUAAUCCGUCGAAGAUCACGCGCCAUCCUAUAUCUACCGGUAUUCUGCUUCUCUACAGGACAAGCAGACACUGAACACCAGGGAGCUGAGAUGUAGGAGGAGAAGUUGCUGACCUCUGGCUCUUCACAGCUGCCAAGAAAGGGGCAAUAGGGAACAAUGCAUUGCCAUCCCUACCAUCAUUUAUGCUUCCAUAAGUAAAAGGCAAAUCUAACCUACAACAUUGAAACGCAGAGACAACAGUGGGGCAUUCUGCACAAACUGCAAAAUAAAUUUCUAUGUACACUUACAGGAGUCAUUGUAAGAAUCUUUCAGGUCUUCCUAAAUUUGGAAAAGGAUUGCUUCAGCAUCUGAUGAGUCACAAAUAGUGCCGAAUAUUGUGCAAUCUUCAGCAAAUAUCUCCAAUCCUGACCUUAUGAUAGAGGGUAAGUCAUUGAUGAAGUAGCUGAAGAUGAUUGAACCUUAUACACUACCCUGAGGAACUCCUGCAGAGAUGUUCUAGAAUGAUUGAUCUUCAAUGACCAGAAUUAUCUUCCAUUGUUCCAGACAUAACUCCAACCAGCAGAGGGUUUUCUCUGAUUCACAUUGACCUUAGUUUGGCUAGGAUUCAGUGAUGGAGAAAGUGAGGUCUGCAGAUGCUCGAGAUCAGAGCUGAAAAUGUGUUGCUGGAAAAGCGCAGCAGGUCAGGCAGCAUCGGGAACAGGAGAAUCGAUGUUUCGGGCAUAAGCCCUUCUUCAGGAAUUCAGUGAUACCACACCCAAUCAAAAUAAUGUCUUUUUGUUGAGGACAGUCACUAUCUUCACACUUUUUGUGCUGAUGUUGAACCAAGUCUGUAACAAAUCAGGAGCUGAGUGGUCCUGAUGGGACCCAAAUUGAGUACCAGUGAAUGGAUCAUUGUUAAACAAUUGCUGCUCAACAUCACUUUUAAUGAUUCCUUUUGUCAUUUUACUGUUGAUCAAGAGUAGGGUGGUAAGUUUUGUGGUUGGGUGUUUCCUACUUUUUCUUCACAGGACACAUCUGGGCAUUUUCCAAUUGCGUGUUCAACUUGGAUUACAAAUUCUUUAGUUGGGAGUCAUCUAUAGGAGUUUUCCUGCCUUUCUCUGCACCUGAUGCCAUGAUAUUUCCUGGGAUUCAUAGUCAAUGUUGAGGAUUCCCUUGGUAACUGCCUCCUAACUGUAACUCACUGUGACAGCACCUUUGCGGAGUCUGUGGGAUAGUGGGAUAGGGCAUUCACAAAGAUGAUGAUUGGCGCUGUCUGGAACAUUGUUUUCAAGGAAUGAUUCCUUGAAUAUGACUAUAUUGUUGCUUGUCUACUCUAUGAGACAACUUUCCCAAUUUUGGCAAAAGCCCCCAAAUGUCAGGAAGGAAUGCUUUGCAAACUCAACAGUAACAAAGUGUAAUCAGUAACAACGAUCAUGACAACUAUCAACUUUCCUAGUUAGAGUCACUUUUAACUAUUGAUUUCUUCAACAUCAUGUGAAGAUGAUGGUCAAACAUGUAUUGAUUGCACAAGUACAUCUCCAAUUUAUGACUCCUUUGAAAAACAGUAAAGCACAAGACUAUUGUUUUGACAAUAAUGUAUUGAAAAGUGAUUUUUAAAAAAUAUAUGUUAUACAAGUCAAAAUGUAGCAUGAGUAUUACAUGUAUUGCCUAAAUUUCCCCUCCCUCACACUCAAAAUACUUUAACUGUUUUUAUGUUGUGGGUGUGGACAACUGUCAAAGGUUAUCAAGUUCUUUACUGUAGUGGACCACCUACUCGUUAUGAAAAGGCCAUCUUCACUUUUAUGGACUCUAUUAAAAUAGGUUGAGAUCUGAGUUUCCAAAUGGUCUAAGCAAUAAUGAUAUGAGCAUUCUGAAUUCAUUAUGUUUUCUUUGCAGCAUAUUCAGAAGUAAUAGUGAUAAAGUUUCAAUUAAUGCAGAUUUUUGUACAUUGCUGAUUUAGACUCAUAGAGAUGUACAGCACGGAAACAAACCCUUCAGUCCAACCCGUCCAUGCUGACCAGAUAUCCCAACC